GCGCACAGCCCAGCGGGCCCUGCCCCGCCGGCGGCCGCCACGCCGCGGCGCUCGCGAGGGAAGGGGCCGGCACCGACAACGCGGCGGCUGCCCGGGCGGGGAAGGGCGGGCGGGGCACGUCAGCCCACGCAGGCGCCCGGGGGCGGCCGGAGUUUUCCCGGCGCGGUGCCUCCCCUCGGAGCGUCUCGGCAGAGGCGGUGCCGGCCGGGGGCGCGUCUCCCCCCGCGGCCCCCCGCCAGGCACCGUAUAUAGGCUGGGGCGCGCACUAGGCCCGCCCGCUGCGGGGGGCCCGGCCGAAGACCGUUUUGUUCUGCCCGAAAGAAUUAAAUGGCUGAAACUAUAGAUACUUCCAAUUUCUUCUUGCGAACAGUCAAUAUCAAUAUGGAGGCGUAGGCACCUUAGAAGGGACUUCAGUCUGAACUCUGGGAGGUAGUUCUGUGCACAAAUAAAGAAACUAAGGCUUCAAAAUUUUUUUUUUUUAAUCUGAGGAUUCUGUUUGUUUCUGUAUGCCAUAAACAUGGCAUACAGAAAAAACUUAAGUCAACAGUAUAAAGCAUUAGAAUGUCCUGACACAAGCCAAAUAAUUUAUGUUAAAUGUGAUAACUCUAUACUUGUAACUAAGGCACCAGGUUAAAACUGAAAUGCUCUGUUCAGUCUGUGCUGACAAUGUUAUAGACAGAAAAGCCUGGGGCUAUUCCAGGCUUGUUAAUUAAGACAGUUCAUCCUUGUCAGGGACAGUGUAUAAGAUUUGUUUAUCUCAUAGCUGAAUAUUCAAUAUAUGUGAAGUUGAGUACAAACUAACUUCUUUGGUCUUAACAAUUACUACAACAAUAUGCAGAAGUUGAGGGGUUUUUUGGAAGUCUAGUAGUAGCAAAUGUACCAGAUGAGUUCAGGGGCUCUUUUUUUGUAUGCCUUUUCAGCUUGAUAAACCAUUAUUUUCAGCCUCCCAAUGAGGUUUAAAACCUAAAAUCUUUACAUGUGUAUAAGCUCCACAUUUAUCAGCUGUCUAGGGUGAAAUAGUUCUUAAAUCACUUAAUAUAUGUUCUGGUUAAAAAUUAUGUCAUUUUAGUUGCCCCCCAUUUUAGUUUCUUUAUUGACAAAGGAUUUUGAUAAACCCGUUUGAGGUUGUUCCCCCUGCCCCUGCCUGGAUCCCACCUCCACUAGCCUGACAGAUUGAUACUGCUCUCCCAGAUACACAGUACAAGGAAAGCAUGUGAUGCCUAUAUGAUUCAAGGGAAGGUCCUUUUUGAUGUGCUUGCUUUAAUUGUCAGAAUGGGGUGGGGCAGCUUUUGCACUGAAAGCAGUUGUGUAAACUGAAGUACAAGAGCUUCCCUAGUGUUUUAAGGCUGUUAAUCAUGAGGCUAAUUCUAUUCACAUACGCAUUCAAAAUUGCACAUUGAAGUAUUUCAUUUUCAGGUUCCUACCUUUGUACAGGCAGGGGUUAUUCCAAAUUGCCUUUAAUGCACACAACUACCUCCCAGAGGAAGACUUGUCCCAU
This 1498-nucleotide long non-coding RNA is filed under the name Strix occidentalis caurina (northern spotted owl). RNAcentral's name for it is "lncRNA (ENSSOCG00000016716.1)". Lineage: Eukaryota; Metazoa; Chordata; Aves; Strigiformes; Strigidae. The record is from RNAcentral.